CCCUGAAGGAGGGAGCGGAAGAGGAGGUAGAAGGAGUGAGGCUCAUCUCUGAAGACCUUGUCCUGAACCUCUGGAGUUGGGGAAAAUGCCCUCUCUGCACAGCCACUGCCCUCUAGGCAUCUGUCAAUCACUGCGCACAAUACUGUGUUGUUACUGGCUGCUUCUUCAUUCCUCACUCCUCAUUUGUACUGCCAAUUGUGGGACAUGAGCCAUCAGUAGGUCACGAAAUCGAUGUAGAUGAGCAUUAAAAAAAAAAUAGAAGAAAAUGGAAAAUAUCAUAUCAGAGUAUGUUGCAGGUAAUAAUGAGAACCCUAACAAAUACAGCUCCAAACUGCCAGCCAGCCAGCGCCAGAACACGACAGAUCCUGGGAGGAAGCAAGCCUUCUAGCUUUUGAAACCCUGAGCCUAUAAAUGCUUGUUGUUCAAGCCAAACCUGUUGUGUGGUAUUUGUGCUAGCAGCUCAGGCAAAUGAAGAUGGUGUUAUUUUUCAUCCAUUAUGAGGGACACUCCUUUGUAACUGAUGUAGCCCUGUCAUCUGCCUAGCU
Choloepus didactylus (southern two-toed sloth) is the source of this 545-nucleotide long non-coding RNA. RefSeq lists it as uncharacterized. The record is from RefSeq and is a predicted model, not a curated record. The transcript is spliced from 4 exons. Lineage: Eukaryota; Metazoa; Chordata; Mammalia; Pilosa; Megalonychidae.